UUAGAAAGGGAGAUGAGACAGAGACAGAGAGAGAGAUUUCAGCGAUUUGAAAAUUCAUCCCUUUCACACAAGCUCUGCAAAUCAAUCUUCCUUUCUUUUCUAUCUACCGUUUGCAUAUUUCUCUCACCAAUUAUCAACGCCGGUUCUUGCUCAGAAACUUUUGCGCUUUUGCAAAAUUCUUUUGUUUGAAAACCCUCAACCCUUACAAGUUUCUGCCUUUUUUGAAUUUAGUCGGAAUCCAAUUUCUUGCUCACAUAACGUAGCGUUUCCUGGUGAGUUUUUCGUCUUUCUCAGUGUGCUUGAUUUUUACUUUUUUUUUGGAUUUGUGUGUGGUUGCCUGAUUUGAUUUGGUUUUUGCUUUCAGGAAAAGCUGGGUUUCGAAUUUUGGGGUUUUUGCAUACAAGAUUGGAAGCCCUUUCUUAUCAAGUUGGAAGAAAAUGGAAACCCUAUCAAAGUCUGUAACUACAAGCAAACAUGAGAAGACACAAAUCGGAUUGAGUGAGAGAUAUAUGUUUUGGAAUCAGACAGAAUCCCUUUAACCACGGAGACUAUUUUUGUUGCUUCCUUAUGCACACGAGGCAAUUCAACGAGGUGAUUCUGAGCAGAGAGUACUCAAGGAGUGCAUGUUUCAGGACCUGAGCUGGGCGAACAAGAAGCAUCGGUUUGUUUCGAGAUUUUUAAUGGUGUGCUUGCUCUUGAAUCGGCGAGAGAUGGUGCAGCAGCUGCUCAAUCAGCUCAGAGUCGUGGUUGAUAAGCGCAAGAGGACA
This is a non-coding RNA of Malus domestica (apple), 767 nucleotides long. The record is from RefSeq and is a predicted model, not a curated record. Lineage: Eukaryota; Viridiplantae; Streptophyta; Magnoliopsida; Rosales; Rosaceae.